CAAUUCACACUUCACUCUUCCGCGAAUUUUCUCCCUGCCAUUGCCGUCGCCGCCGGUCCCUGCUCGAGCUCCGUCGCCGCCAGUGGUUUAUGAAUCUUAAUUAAAUUAGGGCUUUACGAUUUUCAUUCAAUUCACACUUCAUUCUUUCGCGAAUUUUCUCCCUGCCGUCGCCGUCGCCGCCGGUACCUGCUCCAGCUCCGUUGCCGCCGGUACCCGCUCCAGCUCCGUGCUCGUCGCUCCAACUCAGCUGCCGUCGCCGGCUCGCGUUUCACAACGACCGUCGACCCCAUCAGCAUUUGCUUUCUCGGAACUAUCAUCCAGAUGUGAACAAUUAUAACACGUCCAGCUCGACUUCCAUACUUUAUUGAGGGUGUUGUACUAGCUGUGCUGUCUGUAUAAAGUCUGGGAAACUCAAACAGCCAGAAGCUUUAGGGAUAUCUGCUGAAUUAAAAUCCAAGGUUCUAGGUUUCAGGUGGGCUUUGCGCAUACUACGGGGAUUAAUAGUGCAUAUAAGUUUGCUCAAAGAUUUGCAAAGGAAAGAGACGAGGUUCAUGGUACUAGGAAGGAACAAGAUGUGUAGAUGAUAAAUCUAACACUAAAUUGUUAUUUUGUUAUUAACCAAGUUUUAGAAUUUGUACUAAUGCUCAAUAUUAUUGAACUUUGGUGUUAUGAGUAA
Long non-coding RNA from Salvia splendens (bonfire salvia), 676 nucleotides. RefSeq lists it as uncharacterized. The record is from RefSeq and is a predicted model, not a curated record. NCBI's taxonomy places the organism in Eukaryota, Viridiplantae, Streptophyta, Magnoliopsida, Lamiales, Lamiaceae. The transcript is spliced from 5 exons.